CUGCAGAGAUGUGGAAGUGACUCGAAAGAGAACUUGAACACAGGUGCUGCAUGGCCGUCGUCAGCUCGUGUCGUGAGAUGUUGGGUUAAGUCCCGCAACGAGCGCAACCCUUGUCAUUAGUUGCUACGAAAGGGCACUCUAAUGAGACUGCCGGUGACAAACCGGAGGAAGGUGGGGAUGACGUCAGGUCCUCAUGGCCCUUAUGGGUAGGGCUACACACGUCAUACAAUGGCCGGGACAGAGGGCUGCCAACCCGCAGGGGGAGCCAAUCCCAGAAACCCGGUCGUAGUCCGGAUCGCAGUCUGCAACUCGACUGCGUGAAGUCGGAAUCGCUAGUAAUCGCGGAUCAGCUUGCCGCGGUGAAUACGUUCCCGGGUCUUGUACACACCGCCCGUCACACCAUGGGAGCGGGUUCUGCCAGAAGUAGUUAGCCUAACCGCAAGGAGGGCGAUUACCACGGCAGGGUUCGUGACUGGGGUGAAGUCGUAACAAGGUAAGCGUAGAUGA
Molecule: ribosomal RNA, 507 nt
Filed under: uncultured bacterium
Lineage: Bacteria
Description: bacterial SSU rRNA
Rfam family: Bacterial small subunit ribosomal RNA
Source: RNAcentral